ACUCAGCAGCGGCAGCUCACGCCACCCGUUUCCCCCCACCCGCCCUCCCCCACCUUAUUUCCCUUGCCAACUGUCACCGCCACCUCUUUCUCUCAACCAGCCAACCACUGCUUUCUGGCAUUCCUCUCCAUCUCUCGGCAGUUGUCUACAAACUCUUGCGAGAGCUGCCGUGCACGGGCAGAGAGAGAGCUGCCAUGCACGUCUCUGUGAUGUGCGUGCGCACGUUACGGAUAUGUGAAGCGCGCGAUGUGCGCGUGCUCUACAGGGUUAUUGAAGCUUUGGAGAGUGUAGCCAACAGCAGCUGCAGCAGCAAAAUGUAAGAAGGGGUGGCAGGGAGGUAUCCUGCUGCCCCAAUUAUUAAAAGAACUACGGGCGCCGGACGGAGAAGCGGUGGGAGGGGAAAGGGAAAAGCAUCCAAACAACACAGGAUCAACAAAUUCUUGUCCAUGAAUGAAACCGAGAACCUGCAAAGUCCUUUCGCUACUCGAAAUAGGUUGCAGUUCUGGAAGGGGAUGUGCUGCUGCAAAGCUCCGAUUUAUUGGACUUGAAAAAGAAGAAAAAUGGGCAGGAGAGAGAAAAGAGAAAGGCAGAGAGAAGAUCAACAUACAUGGUUAAAAAGCAUGCAGGAUGCAAGUUGCAGGUGGGUGCAAGGUCUGAAAAGGAUGACGACUACUGAAGUAGUAGAGAUUCAGAGAUCACACAAAAUAUUUUCAUUUCUGUGGGAUGGCAUGGUCUAGCUUUCAGCCAAUGAUGAUGGUGAGAAAGAAUUAGCACAGACAGAAAGCACGUAUUAAUUCUGACAAAUGCAUUGUCAGAAUAAUCAAAGAUGCUCUAAGAAGUAAGAGGUCGUGCCAAUAGUCUCAUGUGAGAGUCGGGACUUGGAGAUAUGCUGAUUCCACAUGCAGAUUAUUAAUAAUCCUAGUUGAAAGAAGUUCUAUUACUCUUGAAAGAAGGGAAGGUCAGUAUUGCAGCAAUUCUAUGUACAGCCUCAUGUAUAGAGAACUUCAGUUUAAAUCUAUAUUAAGACUUUGUUGUCACUAGCACCUACCCAUUUAUACAGAUUUCUUUUAAAAAGUAAAUAUGGUUAACUGUGAACAUGUUAUUUCUUAUUAAAUAGAAUUUUUGUGUGGUUU
Molecule: long non-coding RNA, 1133 nt
Organism: Hemicordylus capensis (graceful crag lizard)
Lineage: Eukaryota; Metazoa; Chordata; Lepidosauria; Squamata; Cordylidae
Exons: 3
Source: RefSeq, a predicted model, not a curated record